CUGUGUGUGUGUGUGGGUGAGAGAGAGAGAGAGAGAGAGAGACACACACACACACACACCCCACCCACCCCCCAAAGUAGUUCAGGUCAACCAAGACACUUAACUAAAUGCCCCUACAUUCAGAGAGGGAGAGGGCAGCAGGAUAUUUUCAGUGAGGUCCACAACUGUGAAACCUAC
Dermochelys coriacea (leatherback sea turtle) is the source of this 177-nucleotide long non-coding RNA. RefSeq lists it as uncharacterized. The record is from RefSeq and is a predicted model, not a curated record. The transcript is spliced from 3 exons. NCBI's taxonomy places the organism in Eukaryota, Metazoa, Chordata, Testudines, Dermochelyidae.